GUACGCCUCUCUUUAUACACAUCUGUGUGUCUCUCUUUAUACACAUCUGUGUGUGAGGAGACACACAGAUGUGUAUAAAGAGAGGAAUGCCGUCUGUCAGCAAAUGUGGCAUUGAUUUAUAAUCACUUCCUUUAGUCACAGAAUAACUGAGUGGCAUCUUUAAAUUCUCAUGAUUAAAAAAAAAAGAGACAGUGAAAAAAAAUCCUAAGUGCUAAAUAUCUAAGUAUUAUGCAUUAUUAUUCUUAAGAGCUUGCAAAAGCCUUAUAGCAUGUAUGAUUUAUAAUUAAUGGACCUAAUUCUUUGAAUACAGGUUUCUUCCUUCCAUGACUAUAUAAUUCAAGUUAUACUGCUAAAUAUUUUAUAAUGAGAGUACAAAUUAUGAUGGCCUUUGUAACUGUCUUCAUGGGAGCAUUUAUUAUUGGGCUGAUGUUGAUGGGUUAGUAGAUUUGUGCAUAUUCGUCUCUCUUAUUCAUUACUUUAUGAGUGGACAAGAAGUGUGGGAAUGCGUGCUGUGAACAUGUGGCCACUCUAGAUUUUUCUCAAAAAUAUAAAAAGCAUACAUUUGUUUCCCAGCACAAUCACAAAAAGAAAGAAAGAAAGGGAAAAAAAAAAAGGUAAAAAAUCUUUGCAAGGCAAUGUUUUGUAUUCAUUUUCAGGCAAUGUCAACGUAAUCGAGGAAAAUAAUAGCAACGCGUGUUUUUCAUCUGCAGGUGCGGAAGACGUACUUAAAACCUGAGAGUCCAGAAUAGGAGAGGCGCUUUCAGAUCAGCCCGAGUCUUCCGCAGCGCGCAGGAGCUAGUCGUGCUGCAAAGAAUGAAAUUGGACUUGUCCAGGCGAGUUUCGGACAGUGCUGGGCUGCAAUCACAGAGAAUGGAUUGGCUUGCAGAGCCAAGCACAGGAAGGGCUGACCAAUGGGACACCUGGAGCCAGGACUCAGAGGCCCUCAGGGUCCCCCCUGCCCCAUCUCUCCCUGCAGGCUGCAGUUUUCAGUCUCCAGCUGACACUGAGACUCCAGGAUCUGAGACCAAAAGGAAAACAAUCAAAUAAGCAACAGUUCUGAUCCCAACAGGCCAAGUUGCCUCUUUUAGGAAAACUGCUCACAUCAUGAAUUCUGGACAUGCAAUGGCUGUCAAAAUAGUUCAUUCCCAAGAGACCAC
RNAcentral lists this long non-coding RNA (1157 nucleotides) under Macaca fascicularis (crab-eating macaque). RNAcentral describes it as "lncRNA (ENSMFAG00000048031.1)". The record is from RNAcentral. Lineage: Eukaryota; Metazoa; Chordata; Mammalia; Primates; Cercopithecidae.